This 418-nucleotide ribosomal RNA is filed under the name uncultured bacterium. Its description in RNAcentral is "bacterial SSU rRNA". It matches the Rfam family "Bacterial small subunit ribosomal RNA", at positions 8 to 422 of the family's 1533-position model. The record is from RNAcentral.
AGAGUUUGAUCCUGGCUCAGAGUGAACGCUGGCGGCAGGCCUAAUACAUGCAAGUCGAACGGCAGCACAGCAGAGCUUGCUCUGUGGGUGGCGAGUGGCGGACGGGUGAGGAAUACAUGGGAAUCUGCCCAGUCGUGGGGGAUAACGUAUGGAAACGUACGCUAAUACCGCAUGCGCCCUUUGGGGGAAAGCCGGGGACCUUCGGGCCUGGCGCGAUUGGAUGAGCCCAUGUUCGAUUAGCUAGUUGGCGGGGUAAAGGCCCACCAAGGCGACGAUCGAUAGCUGGUCUGAGAGGAUGAUCAGCCACACUGGGACUGAGACACGGCCCAGACUCCUACGGGAGGCAGCAGUAGGGAAUAUUGGACAAUGGGCGCAAGCCUGAUCCAGCCAUGCCGCGUGAGUGAAGAAGGCCCUCGGG